This 429-nucleotide ribosomal RNA is filed under the name Bacillus sp. (in: firmicutes). Its description in RNAcentral is "bacterial SSU rRNA". Lineage: Bacteria; Bacillati; Bacillota; Bacilli; Caryophanales; Bacillaceae. The record is from RNAcentral.
UCGGAUCGUAAAACUCUGUUGUUAGGGAAGAACAAGUACGWGAGUAACUGCUCGUACCUUGACGGUACCUAACCAGAAAGCCACGGCUAACUACGUGCCAGCAGCCGCGGUAAUACGUAGGUGGCAAGCGUUGUCCGGAAUUAUUGGGCGUAAAGCGCGCGCAGGCGGUCUCUUAAGUCUGAUGUGAAAGCCCACGGCUCAACCGUGGAGGGUCAUUGGAAACUGGGAGACUUGAGUGCAGAAGAGAAGAGUGGAAUUCCACGUGUAGCGGUGAAAUGCGUAGAGAUGUGGAGGAACACCAGUGGCGAAGGCGACUCUUUGGUCUGUAACUGACGCUGAGGCGCGAAAGCGUGGGGAGCAAACAGGAUUAGAUACCCUGGUAGUCCACGCCGUAAACGAUAGUGCUAAGUGUUAGAGGGUUUCCGCCCU